ACCACCAGAACCACCACCUAACCCAGGACAAAAACGACAGUGAAACAAUACAACAAUAAUGAUUUUAAACAAAAAUAAUUAGCACAACUCCGGCGCCCUCCGGCCUGCGAUCGCUUCUCUGAUCAAGUGCAGCACUGUUGAGGUCACUACACGUGAUCUUAGCCAAAAGGCCGAGAAGCGAUCUUCGUAAUUAUGGCAGUCGUUCUAACCGAGAGGGGAGAGAGAAAAAAAACACCCUGAUAGGAGGCAUUUUAUCUUCAUCACUGGACCGCUCAAUUCCAAUUAAUUUGACAAGAUUUCCCUCACGCGAAGCGCAAAUCCCUAUUAAAAGACGCAUACUGUAAAUGACAACCCUCUAAACGCUUCGCGUGUCCGAAUGAAAUGGAAGAGGAGAGAAAGGGAACGACAAAAGGUUAAGACGCAGCUUCCCGGAGUUAUUUCCCGGCAGAGCGCCCUAAGCCACAGUCAUUGGCCCUAAGCCAGCCCCCUCCCGAGUGCUCCUAGUGUUUCUAUAGUAAUUUCUAACCAAUGAUCAGUAGGUGUCCACAUCCUAGCUUCCUCACCUCAGCACCAAUCAGCCACACACAGCGACAGGAGACAGCACGGAGCUAACACUAGGCAGCCACACACAAUACACCUCGGACCAAGCAGAGGAAACACCUACAACGCACCGUUAUUUCCCCCCUACAGCGCCGUGGUUUUAUAAUAAUAAACCGUUUUUUUUCUUCUAAAAAGCUCGAUAAGCUAUCGCUUUAAGUUUGCUAUUUUUUUGUACUUUUUUUCUCAAGCCAGGAAAAUAAGUCUGUAAACAUGCUCCUUUUGUUUUGAGCGCUCUUUUUCAGUGUGGCUGUGCUCUUCCCACAUCCUCGCGUUAUUUUAUAUCUCCAUCGCGCCUUGCGGUAAUGUGCCGCUCUGUGUUGGCAGCCGACUGCUAGGCGUCUGGAAUCUCUUCUCGCCAGGAACCUGGUAGUGCUGGAGGAGACAGAAGCAGGAUGGUAACAUAUUGUUGGUGGUAACCAGCAGCUUCUAGUUUGACGAAGGCCACCGUUGACGGCGACCCCGGACUCUUUCCCCAGUGAACCCUGCUCAACCGUCCCCCAGCCAUGUCUAAUAUAAACAAUGCUCUCUGCAUUGAGAACGGACAGAACGCAGACGUGUCUCUCUUACAAAAGGAUAACCUUCAGAACCUGCAGAACCUGCAGAACUUGCAGAACCUCCAGGAUGGUGGAUUAAGCCAACUUUUGGAUUAUAACGCUGAGAUGGAACGGUACCGCUCUUUCGCAAACUUUUACAAAACCAACGGCGCGUUCGGCCAGACGGCCAAGAUCGCCCGCAUCACGACCCCCAUUUUCCCCAGUGCCCGGAUAGGCAUGUCCCCGUGGAACUGCGAUAACGCCAUGCUCUGGGGGAGGAAAUCGGCCACAAUAAACCCUAAUAGGACCAGCAUGCACAGGAAUGACUCCCAGAGGCCGGGGAAGCAUGGCGUGCCGCCAGAAACGCUACAGCAAAUGGCAAAUAAUAAUUUCCUCUCUACCUUAUCCCCCGAACACUGCAGACCUUUAGCGGGAGAAUGCAUGAACAAGCUGAAAUGCGGCGCCGGCGAAGCAGAGAUAAUGAAUCUCCAGGAACGUGUCGGAACUUUUUCCGCCAUUCCGGCUUUAGGGGGCAUCUCAUUACCUCCCGGGGUCAUCGUCAUGACAGCCCUUCACUCCCCCGCAGCCUCGGCAGCCGUUACAGACAGUGCGUUUCAAAUUGCCAAUCUGGCAGACUGCCCACAGAAUAAUUCCUCUGCGUCCGGCGGGAACCCGGCGAAGAAGAAAAGGAAGCGGUGCGGGGUGUGCGCGCCCUGCCGGCGGCUAAUCAACUGCGGCGUGUGCAGCAGUUGUCGGAACCGUAAGACGGGCCACCAGAUCUGCAAGUUCAGGAAAUGUGAGGAGCUGAAAAAGAAACCGGGCUCGUCGCUGGAGAGGACACCAGUCAACAAUGGCGAGGCAUUCCGGUGGUUCUUUUAGAGCGCCCGACCUUAGUGACAUCAACACGCGGUCAGAGGUCCAGUUAGAACUCUGACAUCACUGCAGGAAGCACUGGGGGUUCAGAGAACCCAAACAACCUCCCAGUUUUUAAACCAGGAGGCAGAAACUCUAAAAAGAUGAAACGAUAAACAUUAUGGUGUUGGUUUAACUCUGUCAUUUCCUUUCCUGUGUAAUUAUUGUACCUUUUGACAGUAUCAUAAUGUCUAUUUUCGGUGUAUAUGAAUGUGUUUCAGUGUCGUUUGGCUGUAAAGUUUACAGUCAAUCUUAUGUAAAGGACUCAAUGGACAAUCAUCACCAAUACGUCAACAACAAAGAUGGCCGCUGCUGGGAUUGAUCAUGUGAUCGUCACACACAACCUUGGAGCAAUAAUCUUUAAAGUUGAUUAUUCUGCUUGUGUUUUCCCUUUAUUUCCGUUUUCAAAUUAUUAUAUCGAAGCUGAAUUAUUUUUUAUAAAAUGUGUCAUUUUUGUUUAAUGCUUGCAUUCCCUGUUUGUGUGUGUGCGCGCGCCUCUGACUGAGGGAAACUAUAAGGUCCUCCUUGGUAAAUGUGAUGUAUCAUAUAAGUGACGCACCAUGCCAGAGAGAACGGCAUUAUUAUUUAGAUGCUUUCAUUGGGGGUUUCUUUCAGUUUUUGUCCAGCGCGUUACGAAACAGGGCACAUUGUCUUGUGUAGCGAGUUGUACUUUAUUGGAAAACAAAAAGGAGCAUCGUUGUGUUACAGUUACUGCACAAAGGGGUGGUUGUGAGUCAGACUGUUUCUCUUUGGUUUUGAUACGCUUUAAAGAUGCUGUUAUGAUUCGCUAUUUCAUGUAACUGUCUUGCCACCUCCUGACCAUCCUCUGGUUUUUGUUUGAAAUACAAAGGUCAUCUUAUAGGUAACACUAUACUUAAAUCCUGCAGGUAUAAUGCUUCAUUACUUGUUUAUUAGCAGGUAUAAUGCUUUAUUGCUUGUUUAUAAGCAGGUAUAAUGCUUCAUUACUUGUUUAUAAGCAGGUAUAAUGCUUCAUUACUUGUUAUUAGCAGGUAUAAUGCUUUAUUGCUUGUUUAUAAGCAGGUAUAAUGCUUCAUUACUUGUUAUUAGCAGGUAUAAUGCUUCAUUACUUGUUUAUAAGCAGGUAUAAUGCUUCAUUACUUGUUAUAAGCAUGUAAUGUCCGUUACAAUGUCUUAUGAGGUUUAUGAUAUAUACUUGCAGACUAAGUAAAGUGUUACCGGUUAUUACACCCAAGCUGUCUAAAAGGGAGGUAUUAAUAAUACUAGUAAAGGAAUUCUGAGGUUAAAUUAACAUGAUUCAAAUGGAAUAUUAAGUCAACAGUACAGUUUACAUAUCUGACAACAGUUAUAUACAUUAUAACUGAUAUGUUCACUGUGAGUAUCUGUCUGACUACAGUUAUUCUGGAAGUACGGGACUUUCCAUACCUUUCUCCUGCAGAGACCACAAUAACAACAAAUGUCUGUUGAGCUGAAGCAAGAAGUGAACACAUUCCAAAAACGACAAAAAUUAUUCAAUAAAUGACUCAUCGUCUUCAAAACCCUAUUGUUGCAUGUGUAAAUGUGUUUUGGUUUUAAAGAUUAACAAGAAUUUGUAUAUUGUUGUUGUGAUGCUUUUAUGUGUUAAAAUAAAAAAAAAGGACUAAAAACAAAUAUUUUGAAUGUCAACGAAUAACGCAACAUUUUUAUCCUCACAUUGUACAAUUAAA
This is an RNA transcript of Oncorhynchus kisutch (coho salmon), 3730 nucleotides long. It is a transcript of the gene named CXXC-type zinc finger protein 4, with no coding region annotated. The transcript has 4 exons. Lineage: Eukaryota; Metazoa; Chordata; Actinopteri; Salmoniformes; Salmonidae. The record is from RefSeq and is a predicted model, not a curated record.